CCUACGGGGGGCUGCAGUCGAGAAUCAUUCACAAUGGGGGAAACCCUGAUGGUGCGACGCCGCGUGGGGGAAUGAAGGUCUUCGGAUUGUAAACCCCUGUCAUGUGGGAGCAAAUUAAAAAGAUAGUACCACAAGAGGAAGAGACGGCUAACUCUGUGCCAGCAGCCGCGGUAAUACAGAGGUCUCAAGCGUUGUUCGGAAUCACUGGGCGUAAGGCGUGCGUAGGCUGUUUCGUAAGUCGUGUGUGAAAGGCGCGGGCUCAACCCGCGGACGGCACAUGAUACUGCGAGACUAGAGUAAUGGAGGGGGAACCGGAAUUCUCGGUGGAGCAGUGAAAUGCGUAGAUAUCGAGAGGAACACUCGUGGCGAAGGCGGGUUCCUGGACAUUAACUGACGCUGAGGCACGAAGGCCAGGGGAGCGAAAGGGAUUAGAUACCCCAGUAGUC
RNAcentral lists this ribosomal RNA (446 nucleotides) under uncultured bacterium. RNAcentral's name for it is "partial 16S ribosomal RNA". It matches the Rfam family "Bacterial small subunit ribosomal RNA", at positions 338 to 795 of the family's 1533-position model. The record is from RNAcentral.